GACGAACGCUGGCGGCGUGCUUAACACAUGCAAGUCGAACGGAAAGGCCCUGCUUUUGUGGGGUGCUCGAGUGGCGAACGGGUGAGUAACACGUGAGUAACCUGCCCUUGACUUUGGGAUAACUUCAGGAAACUGGGGCUAAUACCGGAUAGGAGCUCCUGCUGCAUGGUGGGGGUUGGAAAGUUUCGGCGGUUGGGGAUGGACUCGCGGCUUAUCAGCUUGUUGGUGGGGUAGUGGCUUACCAAGGCUUUGACGGGUAGCCGGCCUGAGAGGGUGACCGGCCACACUGGGACUGAGAUACGGCCCAGACUCCUACGGGAGGCAGCAGUGGGGAAUAUUGCACAAUGGGCGGAAGCCUGAUGCAGCAACGCCGCGUGCGGGAUGAAGGCCUUCGGGUUGUAAACCGCUUUCGCCUGUGACGAAGCGUGAGUGACGGUAAUGGGUAAAGAAGCACCGGCUAACUACGUG
This 468-nucleotide ribosomal RNA is filed under the name uncultured bacterium. RNAcentral describes it as "partial 16S ribosomal RNA". It matches the Rfam family "Bacterial small subunit ribosomal RNA", at positions 28 to 507 of the family's 1533-position model. The record is from RNAcentral.